Molecule: long non-coding RNA, 1041 nt
Filed under: Cyanistes caeruleus (blue tit)
Lineage: Eukaryota; Metazoa; Chordata; Aves; Passeriformes; Paridae
Description: lncRNA (ENSCCEG00000005965.1)
Source: RNAcentral
AUGAGGAUGAGGAUGAGGAUGAGGAUGAGGAUGAAGGUGAGGAUGAGGGUGAGGAUGAGGAUGAGGAUGAGGAUGAGGAUGAAGAUGAGGGUGAGGAUGAUGAAGGUGAGGAAGAUGAGGAUGAGGAUGAGGGUGAGGAUGAGGAUGAAGGUGAGGAUGAGGAUGAAGGUGAGGAUGAGGAUGAGGAUGAGGAUGAGGAAGGCGAGGAGGAGGAGGAGGAAGAUGAGGAGGAAGAGGAGGAGGAAGAUGAGGAUGAGGAUGAGGAUGAGGGUGAGGAUGAGGAUGAAGAUGAGGAUGAGGAUGAGGAUGAGGAUGAGAAUGAAGGUGAGGAUGAGGAUGAAGGUGAGGAUGAGGAUGAAGGUGAGGAUGAGGAUGAGGGUGAGGAUGAGGGUGAGGAUGAGGAAGGUGAGGAAGAUGAGGAUGAAGGUGAGGAUGAGGAUGAGGAUGAGGAUGAGGAUGAAGGUGAGGAUGAGGAUGAGGAUGAGGAUGAGGAUGAGGAUGAGGAUGAGGGUGAGGAUGAGGAUGAAGGUGAGGAUGAUGAUGAGGAUGAUGAUGAUGAUGAGGAUGAAGAUGAUGAUGAGGAUGAGGAUGAGGAUGAAGGUGAGGAUGAGGAUGAGGAUGAGGAUGAGGAUGAGGAUGAAGAUGAGGAUGAAGGUGAGGAUGAGGGUGAGGAUGAAGAUGAGGAUGAGGAUGAGAAUGAGGAUGAGGAUGAGGAAGGUGAGGAAGAUGAGGAUGAAGGUGAGGAUGAGGAUGAAGGUGAGGAUGAGGAUGAGGAUGAGGAUGAGGAAGGCGAGGAGGAGGAGGAGGAAGAUGAGGAGGAAGAGGAGGAGGAAGAUGAGGAUGAGGAUGAGGAUGAGGGUGAGGAUGAGGAUGAAGAUGAGGAUGAGGAUGAGGAUGAGGAUGAGAAUGAAGGUGAGGAUGAGGAUGAAGGUGAGGAUGAGGAUGAAGGUGAGGAUGAGGAUGAGGGUGAGGAUGAGGGUGAGGAUGAGGAAGGUGAGGAAGAUGAGGAUGAAGGUGAGGAUGAGGAUGAGGAUAGGAUGA